GUGAGGAAUUUUCCGCAAUGGGCGAAAGCCUGACGGAGCAAUGCCGCGUGAAGGAUGAAGGCCUAUGGGUUGUAAACUUCUUUUCUCAGAAAAGAAUUAUGACGCUAUCUGAGGAAUAAGCAUCGGCUAACUCUGUGCCAGCAGCCGCGGUAAGACAGAGGAUGCAAGCGUUAUCCGGAAUGAUUGGGCGUAAAGCGUCUGUAGGUUGUUUAAAAAGUAUUCUGUCAAAGAUUAGGGCUUAACCCUAGAUAGGCAGAAUAAACUUUUAAGCUAGAGUUUGGUAGAGGCAGAGGGAAUUCCCGGUGGAGCGGUGAAAUGCGUAGAUAUCGGGAGGAACACCAAAGGCGAAGGCACUCUGCUGGGCCAAUACUAACACUGAGAGACGAAAGCGAGGGGAGCAAAUGGGAUUAGAAACCCGAGUAGUCC
RNAcentral lists this ribosomal RNA (426 nucleotides) under uncultured bacterium. RNAcentral describes it as "partial 16S ribosomal RNA". It matches the Rfam family "Bacterial small subunit ribosomal RNA", at positions 354 to 796 of the family's 1533-position model. The record is from RNAcentral.